Molecule: ribosomal RNA, 252 nt
Filed under: uncultured bacterium
Lineage: Bacteria
Description: partial 16S ribosomal RNA
Rfam family: Bacterial small subunit ribosomal RNA
Source: RNAcentral
ACGGAGGGUGCAAGCGUUGUUCGGAUUCACUGGGCAUAAAGAGCAUGUAGGCGGCUCGCUCAGUCAGGUGUGAAAGCCCACGGCCCAACCGUGGAACUGCACCUGAUACUGGCGAGCUCGAGGUCGGAAGGGGUGAGUGGAACUUCAGGUGGAACGGUGAAAUGUAUAGAUAUCUGAAGGAACACCGGUGGCGAAAGCGGCUCACUGGUCCGACUCUGACGCUGAGAUGCGAAAGCUAAGGUAGCGAACGGG